RNAcentral lists this ribosomal RNA (253 nucleotides) under uncultured bacterium. Its description in RNAcentral is "partial 16S ribosomal RNA". It matches the Rfam family "Bacterial small subunit ribosomal RNA", at positions 524 to 776 of the family's 1533-position model. The record is from RNAcentral.
UACAGAGGUCCCAAGCGUUGUUCGGAUUCACUGGGCGUAAAGGGUGCGUAGGUGGCUGGGCAAGUUUGAUGUGAAAUCUCCGGGCUUAACCCGGAAAAUGCAUUGAAUACUGUUUAGCUGGAGGUUUGGAGGGGGGACUGGAAUUCUCGGUGUAGCAGUGAAAUGCGUAGAUAUCGAGAGGAACACCAGUGGCGAAGGCGGGUCCCUGGACAACACCUGACACUGAGGCACGAAAGCUAGGGGAGCAAACAGG